UACGUAGGGGGCAAGCGUUGUCCGGAAUCAUUGGGCGUAAAGCGCACGUAGGCGGCCCGGUAAGUCCGCUCUGAAAGUCAGAGGCUCAGCCUCUGGAGGCGAGUGGAUACUGCCGGGCUAGAGUCCGGAAGAGGCGAGUGGAAUUCCUGGUGUAGCGGUGGAAUGCGCAGAUAUCAGGAGGAACACCAAUGGCGAAGGCAGCUCGCUGGGACGGUACUGACGCUGAGGUGCGAAAGCGUGGGGAGCGAACAGG
Molecule: ribosomal RNA, 253 nt
Filed under: uncultured bacterium
Lineage: Bacteria
Description: partial 16S ribosomal RNA
Rfam family: Bacterial small subunit ribosomal RNA
Source: RNAcentral